UAAUCGGUAUUUGUCUUGGCUAAUACCAUUUAACAUAGACUUGGUUGAUAUUUUUCAUAUUAAAAAAUACUCGUGACGAAUCCGCUCUAUAUAUAAUUUUUAUUUUGUAUACAAAGUGUCUACUUUUGAUUUUCCAGUUAAGAUAGGACACCAUUGUCAUAAAAACAUCUUUCCCAGUAAUUCAGUAUAAGAUCAGACCAUUCUACCUGGUUAUUUCUACAGGUCCAAAUGUUAUACAUGUAGUUCGGAUUUUAUGCCAGUCUGGUUUUGAGUUCUUUAUAAGCCAUAUAGCAAAAUUGCUUACCUUUUUAACAUUUUAAAUGUUAUUGUUAAUAAUUUAAGUCUACAAAACCAUCAAUUUGUAACAUGGUAAUGAUUUUAGUGUGAAUCCAUGGUGUUGAGAAUGUUCUAGAAGCUUUCCCAUACAAAUGAGGAUUAAAUAUUGUUUCUAGUUCACACCACCCAGCGAAGUGACUGGCAUAAUUUGGCUUGAGGUAUGGUAGACCAUUACAAAUGUUAUGGUGACCAGAAAUAUUUUAACACUUUACCAUAUACCUCCGUUUUGUAAAAUAUUUGGCUUGAUGUAUGGUAGACCAUUACAAAUGUUAUGGUAACCAGAAAUAUUUUAACACUUUACCAUAUACCUCCGUUUUGUAAAAUAUUUGGCUUGAUGUAUGGUAGACCAUUACAAAUGUUAUGGUGACCAGAAAUAUUUUAACACUUUACCAUAUACCUCCAUUUUGUAAAAUAUUUGGCUUGAUGUAUGGUAGACCAUUACAAAUGUUAUGGUAACCAGAAAUAUUUUGACACUUUACCAUAUACAUGUACCUCCGUUUUGUAAAAUAUUUGGCUUGAGGUAUGGUAGACCAUUACAAAUGUUAUGGUGACCAGAAAUAUUUUAACACUUUACCAUAUACCUCCGUUUUGUAAAAUAUUUGGCUUGAUGUAUGGUAGACCAUUACAAAUGUUAUGGUGACCAGAAAUAUUUUAACACUUUACCAUAUACCUCCGUUUUGUAAAAUAUUUGGCUUGAUGUAUGGUAGACCAUUACAAAUGUUAUGGUGACCAGAAAUAUUUUAACACUUUACCAUAUACCUCCGUUUUGUAAAAUAUUUGGCUUGAUGUAUGGUAGACCAUUACAAAUGUUAUGGUGACCAGAAAUAUUUUAACACUUUACCAUAUACCUCCGUUUUGUAAAAUAUUUGGCUUGAUGUAUGGUAGACCAUUACAAAUGUUAUGGUGACCAGAAAUAUUUUAACACUUUACCAUAUACCUCCAUUUUGUAAAAUAUUUGGCUUGAUGUAUGGUAGACCAUUACAAAUGUUAUUGUAACCGGAAAUAUUUUAACACUUUACCAUAUACCUCUGUUUUGUAAAAUAUUUUAACCAGUGUUUAACUGACAGAAUACCUAUAUUUUAAUGUUUUUCCUACAUAUAUUUAACAAGUUACAUUAUUUAAGUUUAUAUUAUAUAUUUCUUCCAACUUGUUCUCAUGUGAAUAAAGUUUUUAAAAAGCAAA
Long non-coding RNA from Gigantopelta aegis, 1518 nucleotides. RefSeq lists it as uncharacterized. The transcript is spliced from 2 exons. Lineage: Eukaryota; Metazoa; Mollusca; Gastropoda; Neomphalida; Peltospiridae. The record is from RefSeq and is a predicted model, not a curated record.